AUUAAUAGUCUGGCCUGCUCACUGACAUAAUAUAAUGUUAAAGAGCCGCGGUAUCCUGACCGUGCAAAGGUAGCAUAAUCAUUAGUUCUUUAAUUGAGAACUUGUAUGAAUGGUCGGACAAGAGAAACCCUGCCUCUGCUAUUAUAAUAGAAUUUAACUUUUAAGUGAAAAGGCUUAAAUUUUUCAAGGGGACAAUAAGACCCUAUAAAGCUUUAUAUACUAAUUAGAAUUAAUUGAAUUGACCAGAUAAAAAUUUAGUCUUAAAAAUAUAUUUAGUUGGGGCGACGAAAGUAUAAUUGAUAAUAACUGCUUAAAUAUAAUACAAAUAAUAAAUGAUUUUUUUUUAAUUGAUCCUUUUUAAAGAUUAAAGACCAAGUUACUUUAGGGAUAACAGCGUAAUUUCUUUUGAGAGUCCAUAUCGAAGAAGAAGUUUGCGACCUCGAUGUUGAAUUAAAAUAUCUUUAUAGUGCAGCAGCUAGAAAAAGAAGGUCUGUUCGACCUUUAA
RNAcentral lists this ribosomal RNA (505 nucleotides) under Chaceon notialis. Its description in RNAcentral is "partial 16S ribosomal RNA". It matches the Rfam family "Archaeal large subunit ribosomal RNA", at positions 1937 to 2660 of the family's 2987-position model. The record is from RNAcentral. Lineage: Eukaryota; Metazoa; Arthropoda; Malacostraca; Decapoda; Geryonidae.